GAGUCAACGUAGCAAUACGUGGCAUACGGCUCAGUAACACGUAGUCAACAUAACCAAAGGACGUGGAUAAACUCGGGAAACUGAGGCUAAACCGCGAUAGAUCAAGAUACCUGGAAUGGUUUUUGAUCAAAAUCUAUAUGGCCUUUGGAUUGGACUGCGUCCGAUCAGGCUGUUGGUGAGGUAAUGGCCCACUAAACCUAUAACCGGUACGGGCUCUGAGAGGAGGAGCCCGGAGAUGGGUACUGAGAUAAGGACCCAGGCCCUAUGGGGCGCAGCAGGCGCGAAACCUCUGCAAUAGGCGAAAGCUUGACAGGGUUACUCUGAGUGACUUUCGUUAAGAAAGUCUUUUGACACCUCUAAAAAUGGUGUAGAAUAAGGGGUGGGCAAGUCUGGUGUCAGCCGCCGCGGUAAUACCAGCACCCCGAGUGGUCGGGACGAUUAUUGGGCCUAAAGCAUCCGUAGCCGGCCUUACAAGUCCUCCGUUAAAUCCAGCUGCUUAACAGAUGGGCUGCGGAGGAAACUAUAAGACUAGGAGGCAGGAGAGGCAAGCGGUACUCAGUGGGUAGGGGUAAAAUCCGUUGAUCCAUUGAAGACCACCAGUGGCGAAGGCGGCUUGCCAGAAUGCGCUCGACGGUGAGGGAUGAAAGCUGGGGGAGCAAACCGGAUUAGAUACCCGGGUAGUCCCAGCCGUAAACGAUGCAGACUCGGUGAUGGACUAGCUUUAUGCUGGUCCAGUGCCGCAGGGAAGCCGUUAAGUCUGCCGCCUGGGUAGUACGGUCGCAAGACUGAA
This 790-nucleotide ribosomal RNA is filed under the name uncultured archaeon. RNAcentral describes it as "bacterial SSU rRNA". It matches the Rfam family "Archaeal small subunit ribosomal RNA", at positions 55 to 853 of the family's 1478-position model. The record is from RNAcentral.